Molecule: unclassified non-coding RNA, 337 nt
Filed under: soil metagenome
Description: partial contains 5.8S ribosomal RNA, internal transcribed spacer 2, and large subunit ribosomal RNA
Rfam family: 5.8S ribosomal RNA (bases 1-120)
Source: RNAcentral
GAUGAAGAACGUAGCGAAAUGCGAUAAGUAAUGCGAAUUGCAGAUUUCAGUGAGUCAUCGAAUCUUUGAACGCACAUUGCGCCCACCAGUAUUCUGGCGGGCAUGCCUGUUCGAGCGUCAUUUCAACCAUCAAGCCCCCGGGCUUGCGUUGGGGCCCUGCGGCUGCCGCAGGCCCCGAAAAGCAGUGGCGGGCUCGCUGUCACACCGAGCGCAGUAGCGAUUCUCGCUCCGGGCGUCGGCGGCGGGCACCGGCCGUGAAACCCCCCCACAUCCACAAGGUUGACCUCGGAUCAGGUAGGAAUACCCGCUGAACUUAAGCAUAUCAAUAAGCGGAGGA